RNAcentral lists this long non-coding RNA (206 nucleotides) under Elaeis guineensis (African oil palm). RNAcentral's name for it is "long non-coding RNA (EGUI_LNC077992)". The record is from RNAcentral. Lineage: Eukaryota; Viridiplantae; Streptophyta; Magnoliopsida; Arecales; Arecaceae.
CACAACAAUAUCCUGUCGAUACUAUAUGUAUCAUGUGGUCAUGUAUGCAGCCAAUCACAGUCGCUCGUUUUUAUGAAUCUUAUUCAUCAAGCACUCAUCUUAGUGCACUGCUAUAAGAAUGAAUGAUUGUGAUUAUUGGCAUGCAUGAUUAUAUGGUACGUGUCAUGUAGGAUAUAAUUUCUUCACUUUUUGAAAAUUUUUAAGUG